Molecule: long non-coding RNA, 476 nt
Organism: Erigeron canadensis
Lineage: Eukaryota; Viridiplantae; Streptophyta; Magnoliopsida; Asterales; Asteraceae
Exons: 2
Source: RefSeq, a predicted model, not a curated record
UUGCUUCGUAUCCCUCCAUAUGGUAAUCAAAAGGACCAUAGACAUUGAAUAGCAAUUAAAGUUGAUUAGGGCCAAAGAUCCAUAAACUGAUAAUCAACUUCUUAUUUAUUUAGAGAACCAACACAUUACCACUCCACCACAGCCAUCGACUCAUCUUCACAUUUCGCCCCUCCGGCUUACCACUAAACGGUUCCACCAGUGUUAGGUGAUGAUGUUGUUUACUUCUGUACAAGAAUCAUUGAAGAUGGGAACAUACGAUUUUAUGUUUACAAUUUUUGUUUUCUUUAAUUGUUGUUGUAUACUAUAAUUGUGAGAAAUAGUAUCUCAUGUUGUAUUCAUUGUAAUGAGAUGGCUGAAUUUGAUAGCGUAAUUCUAGAAAUCAGCAAUGAGAUAUCUAAUUUGAGAUUGUAAGGUACAUGGCUUGAGAGUUUGAUCUCAAAAGUCAAUAUUGAAAAGACCCCAUUUUCAACGAAAAA